GGUGAACGCUGGCGGUAUGCCUAAUACAUGCAAGUCGAGCGAACAGAUGAUGAGCUUGCUCCUCUGACGUUAGCGGCGGACGGGUGAGUAACACGUGGAUAACCUACCUCUUAGACUGGGAGAACUUCGUGAAACCGGAUCUGAUACCGGCUAAUAUAUUUAACAGCAUGAUUCAAUAGUUAUAGACGGUUGUGCUGUCACUUAUAGAUGGAUCCGCGCCGCAUUAGCUAGUUGGUAAGGUAACGGCUUACCAAGGCAACGAUGCGUAGCCGACCUGAGAGGGUGAUCGGCCACACUGGAACUGAGACACGGUCCAGACUCCUACGGGAGGCAGCAGUAGGGAAUAUUGCGCAAUGGGCGCAAGCCUGAUGGAGCCACGCCGCGUGAGUGAUGAAGGCCUUCGGAUCGUAAAACUCUGUUAUUAGGGAAGAAAAACUGCGUAAGUAACUACGCCCGUCUUGACGGUACCUAAUCAGAAAGCCACGGCUAACUUCGUG
Molecule: ribosomal RNA, 497 nt
Filed under: uncultured bacterium
Lineage: Bacteria
Description: partial 16S ribosomal RNA
Rfam family: Bacterial small subunit ribosomal RNA
Source: RNAcentral